UACGUAGGUGGCGAGCGUUGUCCGGAAUUACUGGGCGUAAAGGGUGCGUAGGCGGUGCUUCAAGUCAGAUGUGAAAACCCGGGGCUUAACUUCGGGACUGCAUUUGAAACUGGAGUGCUAGAGUGCAGGAGAGGAAAGCGGAAUUCCUAGUGUAGCGGUGAAAUGCGUAGAUAUUAGGAAGAACACCAGUGGCGAAGGCGGCUUUCUGGACUGUAACUGACGCUGAGGCACGAAAGCGUGGGGAGCAAAC
Molecule: ribosomal RNA, 250 nt
Filed under: uncultured bacterium
Lineage: Bacteria
Description: partial 16S ribosomal RNA
Rfam family: Bacterial small subunit ribosomal RNA
Source: RNAcentral